UUUCCGGUUGAUCCCGCCGGACCUGACUGCUAUCGGAUUGAUACUAAGCCAUGCGAGUCUUUGUAGUAAUACAAGGCAUACGGCUCAGUAACACGUAGUCAACCUACCCUAUGGACAAGAAUAAUCUCGGGAAACUGGGCAUAAUUCUUGAUAGAUCAUAAUGCCUGGAAUGGUUUAUGGUUAAAAUGAUUCGUCGCCAUAGGAUGGGACUGCGGCCUAUCAGCUUGUUGGUGAGGUAAUGGCCCACCAAGGCGAUUACAGGUACGGGCUCUGAGAGGAGAAGCCCGGAGAUGGGUACUGAGACACGGACCCAGGCCCUAUGGGGCGCAGCAGGCGAGAAAACUUUGCAAUGUGCGAAAGCACGACAAGGUUAAUCCGAGUGAUUUCUGCUAAAGAAAUCUUUUGCCAGUCAUAAAACCACUGGUGAAUAAGGGGUGGGCAAGUUCUGGUGUCAGCCGCCGCGGUAAAACCAGCACCUCAAGUGGUCAGGAUGAUUAUUGGGCCUAAAGCAUCCGUAGCCGGCUUUGUUAGUUUUCGGUUAAAUCCAUGUGCUCAACACAUGGGCUGCCGAAAAUACUGCAUAGCUAGGGAGUGGGAGAGGUAGACGGUACUCAGUAGGAAGGGGUAAAAUCCUUUGAUCUAUUGAUGACCACCUGUGGCGAAGGCGGUCUACCAGAACACGUUCGACGGUGAGGGAUGAAAGCUGGGGGAGCAAACCGGAUUAGAUACCCGGGUAGUCCCAGCUGUAAACGAUGCAGACUCGAUGAUGCAUUGGCAUAAUAGCCAGUGCAGUGUCGCAGGGAAGCCGUUAAGUCUGCCGCCUGGGAAGUACGUACGCAAGUAUGAAACUUAAAGGAAUUGGCGGGGGAGCACCACAAGGGGUGAAGCCUGCGGUUCAAUUGGAGUCAACGCCGGG
Molecule: ribosomal RNA, 916 nt
Filed under: uncultured archaeon
Lineage: Archaea
Description: SSU rRNA
Rfam family: Archaeal small subunit ribosomal RNA
Source: RNAcentral